CACUUCUACAAGCCAACACCCUGUCAUUUGCCCUUUACAAGACCAGUGCUAAAUUAGCAAGAGACAUUAAUCACAAGUUUUGUUUUCUAAGUGAGCUAAAUUCCUAAGUUUUUCCCUAAGACCACUUUUUUUUUUCCUUAAUGGGAGACCUUGACUAUGACCACUUUUUAACUGGGCCAAAUUAGCAGAUGAUGGAGGAGUUUGGGAGUGAGUGUUGAAUCUGUCACAAGACAAGCUGAAACACAAGGCAUCAUCAAAUAAGAGACUGGGAAAAAGGAAUAAAACAUUUUGAAUCAGAAACAAAAAUUACUAAAUGUACAGAGUAUAAUUGAAGGAAAGUAUCUACAGAGUUUCUCUGUGAGACUUUGGAGCCUGUCCUGGAACUCGCUCUGUAGAAUAUUCUGACCUUGAACUCACAGAGAUCUGCUUGGCGCUGCCUCUUGAGUGCUGGGAUUAAAGGCAUGUGCCACCACUGCCUGGCUCAGUGAUUCUCUCUUAUCCUGUCUUCUACAUUCCAUAGCUUCAAUGUCCCAAAAUCAACUACAGCUCAAAACUACUAAGUAGAAAAAUAUCAGAAAUCAACUAUUUGCAUCUUUAAAUAAAAAUCAGUUACAUUACAUUAUUGUAAUUAUUAUUAAACAUUAUUCUUUAUUUAUUCCUUUAAAUGUAUUCUUUUUAUAAAUUAAACUUUUUCAUUGGUAUAUAUGGUAAAUGGCAUAUAGAUUUCUUAUUGUAAUGAUUCCUAC
Molecule: long non-coding RNA, 746 nt
Organism: Peromyscus californicus insignis
Lineage: Eukaryota; Metazoa; Chordata; Mammalia; Rodentia; Cricetidae
Exons: 3
Source: RefSeq, a predicted model, not a curated record